Molecule: long non-coding RNA, 1925 nt
Organism: Ostrea edulis (European flat oyster)
Lineage: Eukaryota; Metazoa; Mollusca; Bivalvia; Ostreida; Ostreidae
Exons: 2
Source: RefSeq, a predicted model, not a curated record
CACGGGUGGCUGACUCCUGCAAGUGUGCUGUUGUCUUUAAAUAGGUAUAAUGUAGAAAAAGUACAGCACGAACUAAUUGGAAGGUGAUUCCCCAAUUAAAACCAGUCUAAUACUGACUAUUGAUUAUACACAAGAAGCGCAAUCGACUGAAUACAAUGCGCACCACAACAGAAUCUUUAUAAUGUCAUGCAAUGUACAUGUAUGUAGACACCCGAGAUUGACAAUAUGAAAUCUGUGAUUGCGAUGAUUGAAGAUCAAUCACUUCUUCAAUGUAUAUUUAGGAAAAGAGAAUUACCAAGGAAUUGAUAAACCCUGUAUUUUUCUAUAAUGCUAUGACAAUUCUCUCACAGAAGAUUACAUGAUCGUUUCUUAACACAUUCGACAAAUCAUUUCCCACGGCCUGCGUAAUGGAUCGAUUAAUCUUAAUCAUUAGAUAUAAGCUUGUAUGCUUUACGUAAUGUGAUUUAGGAAUUAAUGCUAGAUAUAGAUAGUUCCUGACCUUUAUAUACUUGCUUUUCUAAGCAUAUUUUGAGAUCACCUUAGACAACUAAACAGGCAGGUCAAUAAAAGAUUUGCAUUUACUUAAACAAUAAAAUGCUUUCUUCGUUGUUUCAUUGGGUGAUGAAAGUUGCGAGCAUUGCAGAAAAAAAUGCAUAACCCGCGUAAGCGUAUUGCAGUGAUUGCUACCUUCAUCACGCGAUGAGACAACAAAGACAGACAAUUUUAUUGUUUAUAUUUAUAUUUUUAUGUAUUAUUAAAAAUAUAAACUAGAAUUGAGAUCUAAAAUAUCACAUGGUUGACCCAUUUGUAACGUUAAACGGAACAGCCAAUGCACCCUUUGACCUUGAUGACACUUUAUAUUUGGUAAUGAUUUUGCAGACAGAUGAUACUAGAAAACCGGAUCGAACUAGUUUGCAACAAAAGUAUUUAUUGCAUGAUGAAAGCAAUGCCAAUUUCAAAAGAAAUAUAAGAGAAAAGAUUCAGUGAAUGUAACUAUAUUGAUUUUCACUCAAACAUUGUCAUACAAAUAGAAUAUAUUGUAAGCAAAAUAAAAGUAAUACUCGUGUCCAAAUCAUGAAUCGUGGGGGAGAGGGCAAUAACCAUCGUUGGGGGGCAAUCGCUGAAAUUGAUCCUUUACCAGAUGGGUUCAAUUUGAAGUUACGUUUGCACUACCAUUCACAACUAUCAUGAAAAAAAAAGGAAAGAUGGACUUGUAAUCAACCAAUUUAUUACAUUUUUAACAGUGAAAUUUAUCCAUUCGAUAAGAAUUGAUAAUUUCACGGUUGUUAUUUUCACUGUGUAUAUAUUUACGUUCAGGUUUGGCGCAAUUUAGAUGAGGAAUUUUACCAUUACGAAUAGAGACUGGUAUAGAUAUCAUGGAGACCCUAUUGAAGAACGAAUUUUUACCUUUUGUUCCGAAAAUAAUGUAGAAGACGAAAUCCAUUUUUUAUUGCACUGUCCUUUGUACUAAGAAUAUUGAUCAAAACUUUUUGAAAACACUGGAUUUAACAAGAUGUUAGUAUGCUCAGAUAUGGAUGGAUUGUGCAUGCUAAUUUCAAAUUAUCCUCGUCAAAUUGCAAAGUAUUUGUAUUAAUCAUUAAUACGUAGACAGUCAGUUAUUUUAAAAAAUUAGGAAUGUAUAAAUUAUGUGUAUAUGAAUAAAUGUCUAUACACAUAUGGUUAUAUACUUCCCCCCAAUAUCUUAUAAAAGACACUGGUGAACUAGGUACUGCAGGUAUGUACUUACAACAUGUAUGUAUUUCUAAUGUGUAUAUUUUAAUGUAUUUUUCCUUCAUUUCUUAACGCUAUGUUCCUUUUUUUCGUUAUGUACUGCAUUUAAACUUCGUGUUUAAAGUGGCAAAGAGGCCUCAGAAUGUGAAUAUACACAUGUCACUAUAAAUAAAUAAACUACUACUACAACUUGU